UAGGGAAUCUUCCGCAAUGGGCGAAAGCCUGACGGAGCAAUGCCGCGUGAUUGAAGAAGGCCUUCGGGUCGUAAAACUCUGUUAUAAGAGAAGAACAAAUUGUAGAGUAACUGCUACAGUCUUGACGGUAUCUUAUCAGAAAGCCACGGCUAACUACGUGCCAGCAGCCGCGGUAAUACGUAGGUGGCAAGCGUUGUCCGGAUUUAUUGGGCGUAAAGGGAGCGCAGGUGGUUUCUUAAGUCUGAUGUGAAAGCCCACGGCUUAACCGUGGAGGGUCAUUGGAAACUGGGAAACUUGAGUACAGAAGAGGAAUGUGGAACUCCAUGUGUAGCGGUGGAAUGCGUAGAUAUAUGGAAGAACACCAGUGGCGAAGGCGACAUUCUGGUCUGUUACUGACACUGAGGCUCGAAAGCGUGGGGAGCAAACAGG
This 429-nucleotide ribosomal RNA is filed under the name Acidobacteriota bacterium. RNAcentral's name for it is "Acidobacteria bacterium partial 16S ribosomal RNA". It matches the Rfam family "Bacterial small subunit ribosomal RNA", at positions 355 to 776 of the family's 1533-position model. Lineage: Bacteria; Pseudomonadati; Acidobacteriota. The record is from RNAcentral.